This 329-nucleotide ribosomal RNA is filed under the name uncultured eukaryote. Its description in RNAcentral is "partial 18S ribosomal RNA". It matches the Rfam family "Eukaryotic small subunit ribosomal RNA", at positions 1470 to 1796 of the family's 1831-position model. The record is from RNAcentral.
CCCUUAGAUGUUCUGGGCCGCACGCGCGCUACACUGACGAUGGCAACGAGUUUUUCCUUCGCCGAAAGGUGUGGGUAAUCUUUUGAAACAUCGUCGUGCUGGGGAUAGAUCAUUGCAAUUUUUGAUCUUGAACGAGGAAUUCCUAGUAAGCGCGAGUAAUCAGCUCGCGUUGAUUACGUCCCUGCCCUUUGUACACACCGCCCGUCGCUACUACCGAUUGAAUGGUUUAGUGAGGACUCCUGAUUGGCGCCGCCGCCCCGGCAACGGAGCAGCGGACUGCCGAAAAGUUGUUCAAACUUGAUCAUUUAGAGGAAGUAAAAGUCGUAACA